CGUUGCUACUACCGAGUGAAUGAUUUAGUGAGGUCUUCGGACCGAUACCCAAGGCGGCAUUUCGGUUGCGCAGGUGUGUUAGAAAGUUGACCAAACGUGAUAACUUAGAGGAACUAAAAGUGGU
RNAcentral lists this ribosomal RNA (124 nucleotides) under Ixodes scapularis (black-legged tick). Its description in RNAcentral is "eukaryotic small subunit ribosomal RNA". Lineage: Eukaryota; Metazoa; Arthropoda; Arachnida; Ixodida; Ixodidae. The record is from RNAcentral.